GAAUAUCUGCUAGGAUCGGACGAUGGUCCGACCCCCAGAGCCUGAGGUACUUACUAGCUGUAUGUGGGAAUUUCUCAUGUCAAUUUUCAUUCCCCACCGCUCUAUCUAACCGGCAUCUAACCGUCGCUCCACCUGACCUCUUUCCAACCCAAGAAAGCAUAUUUCCCGUAAAUGGAAAUUCCAGCAUACCGCAAUCACUAAGCAUCUGCUUGAAAGGUAGAAAAG
This 225-nucleotide long non-coding RNA is filed under the name Brassica napus (rape). RNAcentral describes it as "long non-coding RNA (BNAP_LNC008028)". The record is from RNAcentral. Lineage: Eukaryota; Viridiplantae; Streptophyta; Magnoliopsida; Brassicales; Brassicaceae.